RNAcentral lists this long non-coding RNA (536 nucleotides) under Physcomitrium patens. RNAcentral describes it as "long non-coding RNA (PPAT_LNC007876)". The record is from RNAcentral. Lineage: Eukaryota; Viridiplantae; Streptophyta; Bryopsida; Funariales; Funariaceae.
UUUUUGUACACAAAUUGUACCCCAAAUCCUAAACUUUAAGACUUUAGCUUGUUAUUUCCAAAUUCUUUCGAAAGAGGAACCCUAAUACCUAAUAAGGCCUCAGGCAGCCUCCUUGAAGCCCAUUGGAUAUGGUAUUCGACCAAUAGGGAUGAAGUUCCCCAUUCCUUGCCUUCAUCUAACCAUGCUUUGCUUUUAUCCCUCCCAAUUAGCCUCCUAUUAGUUUAGAUUUUCAUCCUUAGGUUUCCACCUUCUCCCAAGGCUUCAUACUAAACAUUUAGCUCUUACAUAUAUAUUUUUUUUAAUGUCAAAAUCAAAAGAAGUAAAGAAACAAAGUAAAGUUUCUUAUACCAACUCCUUUUAAUUUAAUCUACUAGCCAUUCUAACACACAUCUAGAUUUAUCAAAAUAUAAUAUGUUUUAGCUAAUUUUUACAUACUGUAAGCAUUUACAGUAUGACAGUGCGUCUAGCUCUCACAUUUCGGCCAUUGUCCUCUUUGUUUGUAGCUCGCUUUGUACUUUCAAUUGCCAUGACGCUCC